Molecule: ribosomal RNA, 497 nt
Filed under: uncultured bacterium
Lineage: Bacteria
Description: partial 16S ribosomal RNA
Rfam family: Bacterial small subunit ribosomal RNA
Source: RNAcentral
GAUGAACGCUGGCGGCGUGCCUAAUACAUGCAAGUCGAGCGAACGGACGAGAAUCUUGCUUCUCUGAUGUUUGCGGCGGGCGGGUGAGUAACACGUGUAUACCCUACCUAUAAGACUGGUAUAACUUCGGGAAACCGGAGCUAAUACCGGAUGAUAUUUUGAACCGCAUGGUUCAAAAGUGAAAGACGGUCUUGCUGGCACUUAUAGAUGCAUCCGCGCUGCAUGAGCUAGUUGGUAGGGUAACGGCUUAGCAAGGCAACUAUGCAUAGCCGACCUGAGAGGGUGAUAGCCGACCUUGGAGCUGAGACGGGGUCAAGGGUACUACGGGAGGGAGCAGAAGGGAACCGUAGGCAGUGGGCGAAAGCCUGACGGAGCAGGGCCGCGUGAGUGACGAAGGUCUUGGGAUCGUAAAACUCUGUUAUUAGUGAAAAACAUAUGUGGAAUGAACUGUGGACAUAGUGACGGUACCUAAUCAGAAAGCAACGGCUAACUACGUG